UACGUAAGGGGCCAGCGUUGUUCGGAAUUACUGGGCGUAAAGCGCAAGUAGGCGGAAUAGUAAGUCAGGGGUGAAAUCCCGGGGCUCAACCUCGGAACUGCCUUUGAUACUGCUGAUCUCGAGUCAGGAAGAGGUGAGUGGAAUUCCUAGUGUAGAGGUGAAAUUCGUAGAUAUUAGGAAGAACACCAGGGGCGAAGGCGGCUCACUGGUCCGGUACUGACUCUGAGGUUCGAAAGCGUGGGGAGCAAACAGG
Molecule: ribosomal RNA, 253 nt
Filed under: uncultured bacterium
Lineage: Bacteria
Description: partial 16S ribosomal RNA
Rfam family: Bacterial small subunit ribosomal RNA
Source: RNAcentral